RNAcentral lists this long non-coding RNA (701 nucleotides) under Hordeum vulgare. RNAcentral's name for it is "long non-coding RNA (HVUL_LNC020300)". The record is from RNAcentral. Lineage: Eukaryota; Viridiplantae; Streptophyta; Magnoliopsida; Poales; Poaceae.
UGAAAUUUCAAGAAAGUUUAAAUUUGUUGUGGCAUAUACCUCGGGCUUCUAUUUUAGACACAAAUUCUUAGGAAUUAUAGUGGUGACUGUACGGGUUCGCUAGCAUGAGCUCCUUGGUUCGACCACUCACUCGGCCUUGUAUUCGUGAAUUUUCACCUAAGUGUUGCUACCGCUGCUUGUUUCUUAAAGUGUUGUGCUGCAAUUCUAGCAUAAGAGCUAUCAUGUUGCAGCGGCUAGAACGCGCGCGGGGGGCACUUUUGAAGUCAUGGGUUUGAAACCUAGCGCGACCACUCUUCCUUUUUCGCGUUUUUUCACCCAACAAAUGCCAAAUUGACUGGCCCAGGUCAGCCGCCCCACCGUGCGAAACGUCAGCUGUUUGACGCAAGGAGCAUCACAUCGGGGCUCCCGUUACCGACGAGGCAACAAGCACGAGGGAGCCGAGGCCGUGGAAGCGGAGGCGAGCUUCGGAGACCGAACGAAAAUAUGUUUUUUAGGGCUGAAAAGAAAUGUUAUGCCAGGUAUAAUUCGGCCACAUCUCGCUUAGCUGAGCCCACUUACUUGGCCUGCUAUGCGCUUUGACCCAAGCACUACCAUAGUAUCCUCCUUUAAAGAAGUUAUAAUAUUGGACACGGAGAGGGAUAUUCUACUUAACCAUGACUAACUUGUUUGAUUUGGACUCAUACAAUCACCGGAUAGUAUGN